AAUGGCGAGUAGGUUUUUGGUUCGCGUCCUCGCUAAGGAUCAACUAUUUUCCAAAAACCAGCUAUUUUAAGAAACCGAAGACUGAAUAGAAUACAGUUUAAGAAACACGCUUUGUCGCCGCAUUUCGUCUCAGGAAAACACCGCCCGUUUCACUGAUGAAACCUGUGGGAAUUAUCGAAAUGUUUCCCUUUUGUCAACAUUAGCAGAUCAGAGGCUGCCAUGAUGUUUCUGGCGUCGUUUUCGUCGAGUAGCCGCUGAAGUUUUCUGUGGAAUGACUAUUUUUUGGCCAUCAUUUAGCUGCGAACUGGUAACAGUGUGAUUCUGUGUAAUGUUAGCAUGUAGUUUGUCAGGAAUUUCCCUACAUUAAGGAAUCAGAAUGGUGGUGGAUGUGCAUACGAGGCCCUACCACAACUUUAAAAUGCAGCCAGCCUGUAUGACCCCAAAGGAACUCUCCGAUAAUGACGACUUGGCUACGUCUUUAGUGUUGGACCCCAUUCUGGGCUUCAACUCACACAAAAUGAAUAUCAAAUAUCGGCCACUGAAAGCCAACACUUCAGAGCUGAAGACUAUAGUGCAAGGCUUUAUUCUCACUCAGGACUACGAGAAGGCCUAUGGCUGUAUAUCGAAGGGCGAGUGGAUGCCACGGCUCAGGUCCAAAAGUCAGCAACGGACUCUGCAAGAACAUAUUUACAGAUACCUUCGUGUAUUCGAUAAAGACUCUGGUUUCGUGAUAGAGCCGUGCUAUCGCUACACUCUAGAGGGCCAGAAGGGAGCGAAAAUUUCGGCAACCAGGCGCUGGUACAAAAACGAGAAAAUCGAGUGCUUGGUGGGAUGUAUUGCUGAAUUAACCGAGCAGGAAGAAGACGAACUGUUGCAUCCAGGAAAAAAUGAUUUUUCGGUCAUGUACAGUUGCCGGAAAAAUUGCGCUCAACUUUGGCUUGGACCUGCCGCUUAUAUAAAUCAUGACUGUCGCGCAAACUGCAAAUUUGUAGCCACUGGUCGAGAUACUGCUUGCGUAAAAGUCCUGCGAGACAUUGAAGUGGGCGAAGAAAUCACUUGCUUUUACGGGGAGGAUUUUUUCGGCGACAAAAAUUGCUACUGUGAGUGCGAAACUUGCGAGCGACGCAAAGCGGGCGUUUUCGCCAAAGAAGCGGACAGCAAAGAGGAGAACGGGUACCGAUUACGGGAAACUGAUAACCGACUGAAUCGCACCAAGCAGAAAAUCAUGCAUAACAAUCACAAGGAAAUGCCCGGAUGCAAUGAGAGGUUGCAAGCCAGCGCCAUUCUCUCACCCUUGAGCAUGAAGGAGCUGCGGCAGAAGGGCCUCACUAAAUACGAUGCGGAACUAUUGAUAGCGCAAGGAUGUAAAUUUUCAGACAUUAGUGACUUUCGCACUAUGAAACGGGCUAGUCGUAGUAGUUCCGGGUCGCAUCAUAGUGAAGACCAGAAGAGCUGUACUGAGAAAAACGCUGUGAUAAAUGAAGGGAACGCCGCCCUGUCUUCAACUGUGAGUUCCCGCACUGCCCGACUGCAACGACGCCAAGCGCAGAGAGCCAACCAAGAACUAGAGCAGGCUGAUACUCAAGACCUGUCGCGUUCGAAUCUUCUGGACGACCUGCAGAGCAACGCGAGCAGUUGCCCCAGUAGUUUUAGUGAUAAUGAUCCUGUCUGUGAUGCAACCCAGCAAAAUAAGUUAUUUAACGAUAGUCAAGAAAGCAGCAAGCUUGGUAUAACUGCAGAAGAAUCCUCAGGAAUCACUCUUAGGAACCAUAAGUGUUUAACAGGGGAAUCAAAGCUGGACUUAAACUGCCGCAACUGCCAUGGAAUCAACAACAACAUGGAGCUUGAUACUGCCUGCAAUAUGAGGGCGAGCGGCGUUAAAAAACAUCGGCAAAGGCAUCAGAAGCACCCAUCAGUCUUGAUCGAUGCGAAUGAAACCGAUCAGUUGGAGGACGAGAGCUGUAAAACUGAGGAUGAUGUUUACGAAUUUCACGACGACACCUCUAGCGAUAUUGCUCCAUUGCGCAAGAAGGAGGAGGAAACCAAGCAGGAAAUCAACGUGGAGGAGCAGGAGGAAGUUAGUGAAACAGGCCAACGCGAACUAAAUACUGCCAUAGAACCCGAAAGCUGGACCGUCGAAGAGCUGAACGAGUAUCAAAAACCACCAGAGUGUGUUCAAAAUGUCGCAAGAACUCCGGAAAAGUGCGGCGGUAGACUAAAACUAACGCUGCGCAUGAAACGAAGUCCCGUGCUGGAUGAGGUGAUUGAAUCGGGAAACAGUUUGAGCGAUGAAUAUUUCGAGCCAGAAUAUGAAGUUCUACGGGUGGAAGGUGUGGAGGAUGACGAAGAAACUUAUUCAAGUUAUUCGCAUCGCAAGAAGCGCCAUAAAUCGAAAGACCGGAAACGAGAUAGGCGAUCAAAGCACUCCGAGGCGAGAGAUGAAGUUCCUCAGGUCCCUAUGAAGAGACUUCGGCUCAUUUUGGGCAACGAAAGUCAUACAAUUAAUAUACCGUCCACCAGCACCAAUUGUGAGACAUGAUGUUCAAUAAUGUCCCUAUAAGAUUUAUCAGUUAAUUAUACGGCUCUUGAGGGUGACACAACUUUUACGUAAAACUACUGGCGAUUUUCCGCCAGACGGUUAUGAAAUAUUUGUGCCGCUAAACGGGCUUAUACAUUUUUUGUACUGAUUCUCGUUGUUUAAAGGCACUGUAUUUGCCUAUUUUCCAUCAGACGCUUCACAUUUCGGCUCUGAAUAUAUUUUUCCAGCUCGUUUCAUUACUGAUCUACACUGAAAUAGUAUUAUUUCAAUCAACAUUGUGGUCGGAAACACAACAUGAUUAAUUAAUUUAUACACCGCUCUACAAACGUUGCAUUUUACCUACCCGAUAUUUUUUUUAACAAAUUACAUAAGUUUCUUACAAAAAGCCUCUUAUUUUCUCACAGCAUGUUCAAACCUUUGAAAUGUGAUAUGGACCGUUCAUGUACAUUUAACUGACUUCAUUCGCGUCGAGUUACACGUGAUCUUAAUUUAGUGUUUAGUUAGUUACUGAAUUUAGAUAACGUUAUUUUUCGUAUGUACUAAAUAAUUGUAACGCAAUUCCUUCAGUUUCUAGUAAAGCUCAUAGUGUUUUUUUUUUCAAAUAGUUAAUGUCUUUUUUCAGUUGCACGAUUUGUUUUCAGCUUCAUUCAACUGUUGCCUUUCGAUAUCGAUUAUUGUAGUUCCAAAACCCGGUUAGUUGAGACAUUUUCGAAAAAUCACUAUCAAUUGCUAGAUGAGUACAAACAACUGAAAUUCUUAACACACAAACGGAAUCGGAUAAAACCAUAACCAUAGAUGUGCAUACAGUUUAGACGAAAGACUUUAAAUAGGUAACAUGUUUAGUGUAAGUAAAAUCAGUUAGUUCUAGGAAUCAGUAAGCGAAUGAAUAUUGACUUACUUAACACGGACGAUUAAAUAAAUUAAUUUACAUUGAUUCAGGUUUCUUAACUGCACUUAGAGCAUAUCCUGUUGUAGAAUAUUGCUGUAAAUAGAAUUAUUUUGUAUAUUUAUUUUUACAUUACUUUUAAGUCUUGCGGUUACACAGUAAAAGAUAACAUAGGAUGAUUGAGAAAACGUCUGAUAGGUAUUUGUAAAAAAUCCUGUUAUAUAAUUGUUAACUGUUAACUGUAAAUUUUAUCUAAAUAUGUGGGCUGAUUAAAGAAAAAUUGUUGUAGAACUUGGAAGGAAAGUUCAAUGUAAGUUUUCUUUAAUAGCUUCAUGAUCUAAUGCUGAUCGAUGUACAUCCUAUUGUUCACAAGAUGCAAGUACUUGUAUAAAUCAGUUGUGCUAGAUGUAUAAAGUAUAGUUAAACAUUUGGAAUUCUCAAUACCUCUCACUGUGUAUAUUAAGCGAUUUUGUAUUUCUGUCAGUAUAAACUAAAAGAUAAUGGAAGAUAUACAAGACAAUUGUUCCUCGUAUUUAUUUGUAACAUAUUCACCUGACAAAAACUUUUGUGUAAA
This is an RNA transcript of Dendroctonus ponderosae (mountain pine beetle), 3999 nucleotides long. It is a transcript of the gene named histone-lysine N-methyltransferase Suv4-20, with no coding region annotated. NCBI's taxonomy places the organism in Eukaryota, Metazoa, Arthropoda, Insecta, Coleoptera, Curculionidae. The record is from RefSeq and is a predicted model, not a curated record. The transcript is spliced from 10 exons.